AUGGGUGAUAGCGUGCCUUUUGCAGAAUGAACCGGCGAGUUGCGCUGGCUGGCGAGGUUAAGUCUGAAAAGACGGAGCCGCAGCGAAAGCGAGUCUGAAAUGGGCGUUGAGUCAGACGGCGCAGACCCGAAACCAGGUGAUCUACCCAUGUCCAGGUUGAAGGUGCGGUAAAACGCACUGGAGGACCGAACCCACGUACGUUGAAAAGUGCGGGGAUGAGAUGUGGGUAGCGGAGAAAUUCCAAACGAACUUGGAGAUAGCUGGUUCUCUCCGAAAUAGCUUUAGGGCUAGCGUCAAGGAAGCAAUGAUGGAGGUAGAGCACUGUUUGGACGAGGGGCCCGUCUUGGGUUACCGAAUCCAGAUAAACUCCGAAUGCCAUUGAUUGACCCUUGGCAGUCAGACGGUGAGUGAUAAGAUCCAUCGUCGAAAGGGAAACAGCCCAGACCACCAGCUAAGGCCCCUAAAUGUAUGUUAAGUGGAAAAGGAGGUGGGGUUGCUUAGACAACUAGGAUGUUGGCUUAGAAGCAGCCAUCAUUGAAAGAGUGCGUAAUAGCUCACUAGUCGAGUGACCCUGCGCCGAAAAUGUACCGGGGCUAAACAUACUGCCGAAGCUGUGGAAAACACCUUAGGUGUUUUGGUAGGAGAGCGUUCUAAGGGCGGUGAAGGUCGACUGAAAAGACGGCUGGAGCGCUUAGAAGUGAGAAUGCCGGUAUGAGUAGCGAAAGACAGGUGAGAAUCCUGUCCACCGUAAGACGAAGGUUUCCUGGGGAAGGCUCGUCCGCCCAGGGUUAGUCGGGACCUAAGCUGAGGCCGAAAGGCGUAAGCGAUGGCCAACAGGUUGAUAUUCCUGUACCUGUUAUCUUCAUUUGAGUGAUGGAGGGACGCAGGAGGCAAAAGAAAGCAGACGAAUGGAAAGGUCUGUCCAAGCAGUGCAUCGGAGAAAGAGUGAAAGGCUUUUUCUUGUCAACGAUAAGCUGUGACGGGGAGGGAAAUUGAAGUACCGAAGUUCUGGCGUCACACUGCCAAGAAAAACUUCUAGCAAGAAGGUAAUGGCCCGUACCGCAAACCGACACAGGUCGUCGAGGAGAGUAUCCUCAGGUGAGCGAGCGAACUCUCGUUAAGGAACUCGGCAAAAUGACCCCGUAACUUCGGGAGAAGGGGUGCUGCUCUAACGAGCAGCCGCAGUGAAUAGGCCCAAGCGACUGUUUAUCAAAAACACAGGUCUCUGCAAAAUCGUAAGAUGACGUAUAGGGGCUGACGCCUGCCCGGUGCUGGAAGGUUAAGAGGAGUGCUUAGCGUAAGCGAAGGUACGAAUUGAAGCCCCAGUAAACGGCGGCCGUAACUAUAACGGUCCUAAGGUAGCGAAAUUCCUUGUCGGGUAAGUUCCGACCCGCACGAAAGGCGCAACGAUUUGGGCACUGUCUCAACGAGAGACUCGGUGAAAUUUUAGUACCUGUGAAAAUGCAGGUUACCCGCGACAGGACGGAAAGACCCCAUGGAGCUUUACUGUAAUUUGAUAUUGGGUGUCUGUGACGCAUGUACAGCAUAGGUAGGAGCCGUAGAAUUCGGGACGCGAGUCUCGAAGGAGGCAUCCGUGGGAUACUACCCUUGCGUUAUGGCCACUCUAACCCGCGCCACUGAUCGUGGCGGGAGACAGUGUCAGAUGGGCAGUUUGACUGGGGCGGUCGCCUCCCAAAAAGUAACGGAGGCGCCCCAAGGUUCCCUCAGAAUGGUUGGAAAUCAUUCAAAGAGUGUAAAGGCAGAAGGGAGCUUGACUGUGAGAGCAACAACUCGAGCAGGGACGAAAGUCGGGCUUAGUGAUCCGGUGGUUCCGCAUGGAAGGGCCAUCGCUCAACGGAUAAAAGCUACCCUGGGGAUAACAGGCUUAUCUCCCCCAAGAGUCCACAUCGACGGGGAGGUUUGGCACCUCGAUGUCGGCUCGUCGCAUCCUGGGGCUGUAGUCGGUCCCAAGGGUUGGGCUGUUCGCCCAUUAAAGCGGCACGCGAGCUGGGUUCAGAACGUCGUGAGACAGUUCGGUCCCUAUCCGUCGCGGGCGUAGGAAAUUUGCGAGGCGCUGUCCUUAGUACGAGAGGACCGGGAUGGACCUACCGCUGGUGGACCAGUUGUCGUGCCAACGGCAUCGCUGGGUAGCUAAGUAGGGCAGGAAUAAACGCUGAAAGCAUCUAAGCGUGAAGUCCCCCUCAAGAUGAGAUUUCCCUUUUCUAAAAGAAAGUAAGAUCCCUGAGAGAAGAUCAGGUAGAUAGGUUCGAAGUGGAAGACCCGUGAGGGUUGGAGCGGACGAAUACUAAUCGAUCGAGGACUUAACCACAA
This 2331-nucleotide ribosomal RNA is filed under the name Tetragenococcus halophilus. RNAcentral's name for it is "partial 23S ribosomal RNA". It matches the Rfam family "Bacterial large subunit ribosomal RNA", at positions 589 to 2925 of the family's 2925-position model. Lineage: Bacteria; Bacillati; Bacillota; Bacilli; Lactobacillales; Enterococcaceae. The record is from RNAcentral.